Molecule: long non-coding RNA, 1299 nt
Filed under: Canis lupus familiaris (dog)
Lineage: Eukaryota; Metazoa; Chordata; Mammalia; Carnivora; Canidae
Description: lncRNA (ENSCAFG00845008445.1)
Source: RNAcentral
AUGCUGACGGUAGCUCUGCUUCUGGUCGUGGUGGUCUUGCUGCAGUUGCUGCUGCUGGUAGUAGUGCUGGUGGUGAUGCUGGAGGUGGUGGUGGUGCUGGGGGUGGGGGUGGUGGUCGAGAUUCUGCUGCUGCAGCUGCUGGUGAUGGUGCUGCUGGUGCAGGGGCUGGAGCUGGGGCUGGGGCUGCUGGUGUUGCUGGUGCUGGAGGUGCUGCUGGUCCUGAUGGUCCUUGUGGUGCUGGUGCUGGUGCUGUCGAGAUGCUGGUGCUACUGGUGCUGCUUAUGGUGGUGGUGGUCCUGGUGGUGCUGGUCUGCUGGUGCUGGUGCUGGUGCAGGUCGUGCUGGUGCUUUAGGUGCUGCUGGUCCUGGUGCUGGUGCAGCUGGUGCUGAUGCUGCUGGUGCUGCUGCUACUGAUGCUGCUGAUGGUGCUGGUGCUGGUGCUGCUGGUGGUGUUGGUGCUGCUUCUGCUAGUGCUUGUGCUGGUGGAAUUCGUACUGGUAGUGCUGAUGCUGCUGGUGCUGGUGCUGGUGUUGGUGCUGGUGCUGCUGAUGCUGCCAAUGGUGAAGGAGCUGGUGCUGCUGGUCCUGCUGGAGCUGCUGCUGCUGGUGGUGGUGGUGCUGGUGGUGCUGGUGUUGGUGCUACUGGUGCAGCUUGUGCUGCUGGUGCUGGUGCUGGUCAUGCUGGUGCUAUUGGUGCUGCUGGUGCUGGUGCUGGUGUAGCUGUGGCUGCUCGUGGUCCUGGUGGUGGUGGUGUUGCUGGUGCUAUUUUUAUUGGUGGUGGUGGUGCUGCUGAUGGUGGUCGUGGUGCUGCUGCAUCUGCUGGUGCUGCUGGUGCUGCUAGUUGUGCUGGUGGUGCAGGUGGUGCUGCUGGUGCUGCUUCCUCUGGUGCUGCUGGUGGUAGUGGUGGUGGUUUUGGUGCUGCUGGUGCUGAUUGUGCUGGUGGUGGUGCCGGUGCUGGUCAUGCUGGUGCUAUUGGUGCUGCUGGUGCUGGUGCUGGUCAUGCUGUUGCUGCUGGUGCUGGUGCUGCUGGUGUUGUUGUUGUUGAUGGUGAUGCUUCUGCUGGAGCUGCUGGUGCUGCUGCUGGUGGUGAUGGUGCUGGUGCUGCUUGUGCUGCUGGUGCUGGAGCUGGUGUAGCUGCUGGUGCUGCUGCUGGUGUUGGUGCUGCUGAUCAGCUUGUGGUGGUGCUGGUGGUGCUUCUGAUUGUCCCUGUGUUGGUGCAGGUGCUGGUCGUGCUGCUCCUAGGGGUACAGCUGGUGCUGAGGAUGGAGCUGCUGGUACUGCUGGUGCUUGUGCCAGUGUAG